Molecule: long non-coding RNA, 418 nt
Organism: Rattus rattus (black rat)
Lineage: Eukaryota; Metazoa; Chordata; Mammalia; Rodentia; Muridae
Exons: 2
Source: RefSeq, a predicted model, not a curated record
UCAGGGCAAGGAGACCAUGACUUUGAUGGAGGCUCCAGCAUCCUCGAAGGAACAGAAGCUUGAGCUGGAGAUCAUGAACGUCACCCUGUGGGUCUGUUGGGAGUUAAAUGAGGUGGUGCAGCUAGAUCCGGAACUCAGCGCUCAGGAGAGCUCAGAGGAUGGCCUUCCUGGUUAGCCGGCACUCAUCAGGAUGACAGCUCACUGUGCUGUCACUCUUCCUGGGUGGUUUUUUGAUUUCACAUUUUCAUAACAAUCUCUGAUGAUUUCAUUCGAAGGAGGAAGGUCUCUGGGAGUUUCCUGUGGGCACAAUGGGGUCACCAGGUUUCCCUAGGCAUGUGCCCAAGGAUGCCACCACCAUAUUUGCUUUGGUAUUUAAAAUAAAGGCCACACUGAAUCUCGUGCUUUCGUUGUAACCAAA